UACGGAGGGUGCGAGCGUUGUCCGGAAUCACUGGGCGUAAAGGGCGCGUAGGUGGCCCGUUAAGUGGCUGGUGAAAUCCCGCGGCUCAACUGCGGGGCUGCCGGUCAUACUGGCGAGCUAGAGCACGGUAGGGGCAGAUGGAAUUCCCGGUGUAGCGGUGGAAUGCGUAGAGAUCGGGAGGAACACCAAUGGCGAAGGCAGCUCGCUGGGACGUGACUGACGCUGAGACGCGAAAGCGUGGGGAGCAAACAGG
Molecule: ribosomal RNA, 253 nt
Filed under: uncultured bacterium
Lineage: Bacteria
Description: partial 16S ribosomal RNA
Rfam family: Bacterial small subunit ribosomal RNA
Source: RNAcentral